ACCUUCGUGGUAUAAUGGUCAGCACACUCGGCGCGUAUUCGAGAGGUCCAGGUUCGAGUCCCGGCUAGGGCA
Molecule: transfer RNA, 72 nt
Filed under: Stegodyphus mimosarum
Lineage: Eukaryota; Metazoa; Arthropoda; Arachnida; Araneae; Eresidae
Rfam family: tRNA
About the family: Transfer RNA (tRNA) molecules are approximately 80 nucleotides in length.
Source: Rfam by way of RNAcentral